GAGGGGCGUCAUGAGGCUCAGUGGUAGAGCAGGUGCAUCUUAUGCUACAGUUCUCAAUGCAGCUGUCCUGGGUUUGAUUCCCAGGCCCUAGGUCA
This is a non-coding RNA of Characodon lateralis, 95 nucleotides long. Lineage: Eukaryota; Metazoa; Chordata; Actinopteri; Cyprinodontiformes; Goodeidae. The record is from the annotation of a GenBank genome assembly.